UUGUGAGAGGAUCAUUUUAGCUCACAAAUGGAAUGUUCCGUUGUGUUACAGACACUUUCCAUUGCCCACACAGAAAAAGACAAACAUCCCCAUCCGUGCACGAUUCCCCUUCGUUGUCAUCCCUGAAAGGUAUCUUUAGCAGAGAAAGCAAGCCAAAGACCUCUGAAUCAUCUCUCUCCACAGCAGCAGGUUUAUCAUCCACAGCCCUUCGGCUUUGCACUAUUCUGACUACGGCACCAGAGUCCCGUUCAGCGAUUGCAGAUGGCUGCGAUGUUGCAAACACUUGUGGAAGCAUCUGGACCAAAGUUGCCACCUCCACAGCCACAUCGCUAUCAGCGCUGAAAACAAAGCGGCUCGUCAUGAGUCCAUUCACUUCAGGUUUACAGUGGUGCUCUCGAGAUGCUUUCUUUGCCAAAGUAUUGCAAUUUUAACAUUUUUAAAUUCAAGAAUAAACAUCUAAAGAGGGUUUUUUUAAUUUAGUUUUCUUGUUUAAUGCAACAACACUGCAAUUCAUCCCAAUACAGCUUGUUUGAAGUUGAAUAUUAGUAUAUUAAUAUUAGUGUGCGGCCUUCUGGCAGGUGGUGGAGGAUCUUGUGAUGUUCCUAAUAACGCCACGUCUGGACGGUCCGGACCAUCAGCUGAGAAUCAGGUGCUUACUAAAUAUUUAGGAGGAUGAAAGCUUCCUGCUGGGCAAAGGCACUAAGAGCUCAGCUCAGAGCUUCUUCUCUGUGUCUCAGUGGUGGAGUCUGUGAAUGUACUAUUUGGAUUUUGUACUCGUACGUCACGUGCAGUUUUCUAUUUUAUGUUGCUUUAUACUUCUGGUCCAUAAAAUGUACUUUUUCCUCCCCUACAUAUAUUUAAGAGGUUUAGUUAAUAUACAUAUAUCUUUAAAGUAUAUAAAGUAUGAAUGACAUAGAUAACAGUAUACACUUAAUGGUGCUUCUUUUGAUAAUUGUAUGUAGUGUACAUUUAGCCAGUGACAGUUCUGUACCUUCAGUGAAGUAACAUUUUGAAGUGACGACUUGUUAAUGUUUAAACUGUCAUUUCUUUCACAACUGGUGUCUUCGGCAACAUCCACACCAAUAUCUAUUGGUGUGGAUGUUGCUUUCUAUUUAAUAUCUUUCUAUUUAUUUAUAUUUAUUACUCUUGUUCCCACGUUUAGACCCGACGUCCAAGUUUCACCAGUUUUCUUUUUUUCCUAAAACACUAACGAUUGAGAGCCGCUUGAAUUUGAAUAGCAUUAGUCCGGUCAGAAACAGAACCACAGAAACAUUUUUCAGGUAAACCUUUUAAAACAUUAGUGGUGAGAGACGUGUUCAUCACUUCCGGUGUUUCAUUUUUCAACAUUAAGAACUAAAUAUUUUUCGCUCACUAAUUCUGUGUUCGUUGCACUGCUAUUAGCCCCCUGACUGUGCUGAUGUCUUUGACCUGUGUGUAAACAAUAAUAAAAUGUUGAAUCAAG
Molecule: non-coding RNA, 1462 nt
Organism: Gasterosteus aculeatus aculeatus (three-spined stickleback)
Lineage: Eukaryota; Metazoa; Chordata; Actinopteri; Perciformes; Gasterosteidae
Source: RefSeq, a predicted model, not a curated record